GGGUGGGAAGGCAGCUUGAAGGGAGUGAGGAAGGUGCGUCUUGUGAUGUUGCCCUCCCCAUAGCCAUGCUACUGAUGUUCUUGGGUCUCAGACUGAGAACUUUCACACCGUGGCUGUCCUUCUCAACCGUCACCACUGUAUGAGGUGGUCAUGGGUAUUCCCAUUUCACACAUGGGGAGAGGUGGGCCUCAAAGACAUUUAUUCAUCUUUGGCCCAAGUAGGAAGUAUCAAGUCUAGGGGGUGCUCUCUCAAUACCUGUCAAAUGAAUGGUCUAUAUAGAAUACAAUCUAUGUACAACUUGCUACACCUGUGUGUGAUGCUUCCCUCAACAGUUUUGCUAGUGAGUCGAUUCUCAUGCAGUCUUGGAUCAGCAAUAAGUUCCAAAGCAUGUCACAAUAAUGAAAAACACAAAAAGUGGCUGGACAAGGAAGUGCCAGGGCUUCUAUAUUUACUCCAAACAGAAGAGCUACUUGCCUGAUUAUGGCUGACUGGAAAAUGAGAUUUAAUUGGACAAAGUCCUUGAAGCUCCCGUGUCUAGCAUUCUCAGCAAGGACCUCCCUGCAUGGAGGAGCAUUGGAAAUGAUGUGUGCUCAGUUUCGGUUUGACUGUGAAUACUAUCUGGAUGAAGAUUCCUGCCAAAACAUUUCACUGAAGGAUUUACAAUAGACUUUCCAAGGCUCUAACUGAAGGGUGGCAGCUGAUGUCAGCGUGAAUGUGCUGGCAUUCACCCCUUCAUCUGGCUGAAUAAAAAGUAACCAAUCAUGUUCUUGGGAACCCUGCAUAUUCUUCAUAGUUUAGGGAGCACCGGCCAGCACACCCAUUUGCCUUCCUUUUGGUAACAGCAUCUGGAUUUUACUUCAGGGAGCCAUUGCUCCCUUGCUUUCAAGAGAGAUGUCAAUGCAUAUGGGUAACUACCGACUGGGGCGAAAGAUCUAGUCUGGACCAAUCAGCGCAACACACAAGCUGCAUCUCUGACCUUCCCUCUCUUCUUAUGGGGAUUGAUAGCUGAUGAAUGAAUGGUUUGCCAUCUCUGUUCCAUGAAACAGCAAGCAGAACAGAAGUCUUCUGAGGGAGAAAAGG
RNAcentral lists this long non-coding RNA (1080 nucleotides) under Cricetulus griseus (Chinese hamster). Its description in RNAcentral is "lncRNA (ENSCGRG00015034192.1)". Lineage: Eukaryota; Metazoa; Chordata; Mammalia; Rodentia; Cricetidae. The record is from RNAcentral.